RNAcentral lists this ribosomal RNA (465 nucleotides) under uncultured bacterium. Its description in RNAcentral is "bacterial SSU rRNA". It matches the Rfam family "Bacterial small subunit ribosomal RNA", at positions 329 to 792 of the family's 1533-position model. The record is from RNAcentral.
UUCCAGACUCCUACGGGAGGCAGCAGUGAGGAAUAUUGGUCAAUGGUCGGGAGACUGAACCAGCCAAGCCGCGUGAGGGAUGAAGGUACAGAGUAUCGUAAACCUCUUUUGUCAGGGAACAAAGGCGGGGACGUGUCCCCGGAUGAGUGUACCUGAAGAAAAAGCAUCGGCUAACUCCGUGCCAGCAGCCGCGGUAAUACGGAGGAUGCGAGCGUUAUCCGGAUUUAUUGGGUUUAAAGGGUGCGCAGGCGGAGGUGCAAGUCAGCGGUCAAAUUGCGGGGCUCAACCCCGUACUGCCGUUGAAACUGCAUCCCUUGAGUGCGCGAGAAGUAUGCGGAAUGCGUGGUGUAGCGGUGAAAUGCUUAGAUAUCACGAAGAACCCCGAUUGCGAAGGCAGCCUGCCGCAGCGUUACUGACGCUGAAGCUCGAAAGCGCGGGUAUCGAACAGGAUUAGAUACCCCGGUA